Molecule: ribosomal RNA, 456 nt
Filed under: uncultured bacterium
Lineage: Bacteria
Description: bacterial SSU rRNA
Rfam family: Bacterial small subunit ribosomal RNA
Source: RNAcentral
UACGGGAGGCAGCAGUGGGGAAUAUUGCACAAUGGGCGCAAGCCUGAUGCAGCCAUGCCGCGUGUAUGAAGAAGGCCUUCGGGUUGUAAAGUACUUUCAGCGGGGAGGAAGGCGGUGAAGUUAAUAGCUUCACCGAUUGACGUUACCCGCAGAAGAAGCACCGGCUAACUCCGUGCCAGCAGCCGCGGUAAUACGGAGGGUGCAAGCGUUAAUCGGAAUUACUGGGCGUAAAGCGCACGCAGGCGGUCUGUCAAGUCGGAUGUGAAAUCCCCCGGGCUUAACCUGGGAACUGCAUUCGAAACUGGCAGGCUAGAGUCUUGUAGAGGGGGUAGAAUUCCAGGUGUAGCGGUGAAAUGCGUAGAGAUCUGGAGGAAUACCGGUGGCGAAGGCGGCCCCUGGGACAAAGACUGACGCUCAGGGUGCGAAAGCGUGGGGAGCAAACAGGGAUUAGAUACC